UUUCCUACGGGAGGCAGCAGUAGGGAAUUUUCGUCAAUGGGCGCAAGCCUGAACGAGCAAUGCCGCGUGAACGAGGAAGGUCUUCGGAUCGUAAAGUUCUGUUGAAGGGGAAAAAGAGCGGAGAGAGGAAAUGAACUCCGAUUGAUAUUACCCUUCGAGGAAGUCGCGGCUAACUACGUGCCAGCAGCCGCGGUAAUACGGAGGUGGCGAGCGUUAUCCGGAAUGAUUGGGCGUAAAGGGUGCGUAGGCGGCCUGCUAAGUCUG
This 264-nucleotide ribosomal RNA is filed under the name uncultured bacterium. RNAcentral's name for it is "partial 16S ribosomal RNA". It matches the Rfam family "Bacterial small subunit ribosomal RNA", at positions 335 to 591 of the family's 1533-position model. The record is from RNAcentral.